ACACACCGGGAUAUGACAACAUAUCCUUUAUAUUCGUAUAUAUAUUGUAUCCUGAUUGAUUCAUAUUCAAUAUCAUAUUCAUAUCUGGUAAGCCCCGCCCACAUUUCCCCUCCGUCUGUCUGUCUCUGUCUCUCUCAGCCUCAAGUUAGCUAUUUCUGCAUCGACACUUUGGAUUAUGCCAAACACACAUCAACUCUGAUGGACAUAUUCUAUAAUUAGAUGACAAUGAAAGAGAGUUAUCAAGAUGUCGAUCAGAAAGUCUUAAUAACUCCCAAUAUGAACAUGUAAGAACUAUUCCAGCCACUUCUAGAUGUAUAAUUAAAGAGUUUCUUGUGUAUUUUUGGUUUUAUACAGACCAUUUACAUCUGAAAACAAAUGAUUGAUUCAUAUUGCCAUUUUAUUAGUUCAUUGGUGGCCACUGGCCAGUGUACCUGUAGUAACACCGGGCCAGCAGGGGUGAUGCCCCGAGGUUAGCCUUAAACACCACGUACAGAGCUAGCUUACUUCUAAGGACGUAUUGCCAAACCAACCACACAGGAACAAUGUUAUUCGAAGACUUGGUUAAAUCACUAUUUGGCAAUUAUUUGACUUCAGUAACGAGCUAAGGGGGCUUUCUCAACUGGAAGUGUUGUUCUUACAACUAUAGCCUUCAAACGACAGACCAGUAACACUUCACAUGCAUUUAACUAACAGUUAACUAACUAUUAACUAAUGGCCUGGUAUUCAUUGACAAAUGGUGUUCAUUUUAAAUAAGGUAAUGGAGUUCAUGUUAACUAAGGUAUUCCUUUCUUCAUUAUUUAAUAGGGUUAGGGUUAAGCCUAACCCCUAUGCUAAUGCUAUAUAAUAAUGCUUAUACUGCAUUAACUAAUGUUAAUGGUUAAUCAACGUGCCGUCAUUGUCAAGUGUUACAACGGACCAUUUUUUGUUAAGUUUGUAUGAUUGCUCAUUUUGUAUGGACCGAAAAAAGGCAUUAUAUGAUGGACACAAUUGGUCGAAUAUCAGAACGUCAGACGUCUCUGCUCUGCUUACCAGGACGCUGCCAUUCACUUUGAGUUUCGACAGUUGGGUAAACGUGUCCUGUUGGGAUGAAAGUGUUCUGGUUUUCUGUUCCCAUGAUGAAGAAAUGGUUGUUUUCGGUAUCAUUAAGGGGUUGAUUUAGGUAUAGUUAAAAAAGUGGUUUAGGUAAAGGGAUUGUCAGGUUUAGGUAAUGAGAUGGUUAAGUUUAGGUAUAAUAUAAGAGAUGGUUAAUCUUAGGUAUUGGAGAUGGUUAAGUUUAGGUUUCAGAUGGUUUAGUACAGGCACUCGUUUGGAGACGGUUGCGAUAAGAUGUGACUUUGGCGCGGUUGAAACCAGGGUAAAGAUCUGGGGAGUGCAAUGCAUCAUGGGAUUCAUUUCCAUAACAGUCAGAGAGACAUCUUGAUUUUGGCCCACUUUCAUGCCGAUGCCUUCUUCCCCUUCAUCAGAACAAACCCUAUCCAGCCUUAAUCCUACGGAAGAAUGUGUGAGAGCUCUUUCUGCUUGGGACUUUUCAACAUAUGAAUGGUCACCCUGACACGUCCCUCUUUGUCGUUGUUAUGCACGUCAGCGAGACUGCUGCACCUUUUAUAAACCGUCCCUUGUCUAUGAGGACUCAUGAGGAGACACCAACUGUAAACUGUGAAGAACAUGUGAGUGUGCUUUUUGUGCGGCGUUGAGACUUUGGAGAUAUACGCAAACAUCCCACUGUCGGCGUGUAAGUGUUGUGGUAUUUGGUUGAAGACGUAACGGUGUGGUUCCUUGUUUGUACCGAAGCGUGAAUUAGCUUCAUUGUGUUUAAAACCAACAUGGUGGCUGUUGCCUUUUUUUUCACUCUGAAUGUUCUCAGCGUUUUUUGUCUUUAAACACCUUUUAUCAGCUGUUAAAUAAAAAUAUGUUUGUUAUAAAACUGUAAGUUCUUCUCAAUAUGGUGUGUUAUGUAAUGCAAUGCUGGUUUGGUGUGUAACUCGAGCGGACACACACACACACACACACACACACACACACACACACACACACACACACACACACACACACACACACACACACACACACACACACACACACACACACACACACACACACACACACACACACACAACAACA
Long non-coding RNA from Gadus macrocephalus (Pacific cod), 2121 nucleotides. RefSeq lists it as uncharacterized. The transcript is spliced from 2 exons. The record is from RefSeq and is a predicted model, not a curated record. NCBI's taxonomy places the organism in Eukaryota, Metazoa, Chordata, Actinopteri, Gadiformes, Gadidae.